UAAAAUAAUUAAGGGCACACAGGGAAUGCCUAGGUAGUAAGAGCCGAUGAAGGACGUGGUAAGCUGCGAUAAGCUUGGGUUAGCUGCAAACGAGCGCCAACCCCAAGAUUUCCGAAUGGAGCAAUCUGCUAAGAUGGAGUCUUAGCACGAAAGAGGGUACCGAGUGAACUGAAACAUCUAAGUAACUCGAGGAAAAGAAAGUAAAAACGAUUCCCCAAGUAGCGGCGAGCGAACGGGGAUGAGCCUAAACCAUAUAAGUGUCAAGGAUACAGCCGUUGCUUAUAUGGGGUUGUGGGAAGAACGUUUGAAGAACUGUAAGAUAUUCAACAUAUCUAAUGACUGAACUGGAACUAGUUGGAAAGCUAGAUCGUAGAAGGUGAUAAUCCUGUACAGGUAAACUCAUUAGAAUGUAUGUUCUCUCCCAAGUAACAUGGAACACGAGGAAUUCUGUGUGAAUCUGCGAGGACCAUAUCUCGUAAGGCUAAAUACUCUUACUAACCGAUAGCGUAUAGUACCGUGAGGGAAAGGUGAAAAGAACCCCGGGAGGGGAGUGAAAUAGAACCUGAAACCGUAUGUCUACAAGCAGUCGAAGCACCUUAAGAGUGCGACGGCGUGCCUAUUGAAGAAUGAACCGGCGAGUUACAUUAUGUUGCGAGGUUAAGUGGGAGACACGGAGCCGAAGCGAAAGCGAGUCUUAAUAGGGCGACUAGUAACAUGGUGUAGACCCGAAACCGCAGUGAUCUAUCCAUGGUCAGGUUGAAGCGCAGGUAAAAAUGCGUGGAGGACCGAACCCGUGAGUGUUGAAAAACUUUGGGAUGAACCGUGGAUAGGGGUGAAAUGCCAAUCGAACGCGGAGAUAGCUGGUACUCCCCGAAAUAGCUUUAGGGCUAGCCUCAGGGAAGAUUAUAGACGGUAGAGCACUGAUCUGGCAAGGGGGCGUAAAGCCUACCGACCCUAGUCAAACUUCGAAUGGCUAUAAUUAAGACCCUGGGAGUCAGACUGCGAGUGAUAAGACCCGUAGUCAAGAGGGAAACAGCCCAGACCGCCGACUAAGGUCCCCAAUGCUGUACUAAGUGGAAAAGGAUGUAAGACUUCAUAAACAACCAGGAUGUUGGCUUAGAAGCAGCCACCAUUAAAAGAGUGCGUAAUAGCUCACUGGUCGAGAGGCCUUGCGCCGAAGAUGUCCGGGGCUCAAGUACAGAACCGAAGUCGCGGCAGGAUUAUAUAAUUCUGGGUAGGGGAGCGUUGUAUAUCCGACUGAAGGUGUACCGGAAGGAGCGCUGGAGGAUAUACAAGAGAGAAUGCCGGUAUGAGUAGCGAAAAGAACAGUGAGAAUCUGUUCCACCGAAAGCCUAAGGUUUCCUGAGCAACGCUCGUCGACUCAGGGUAAGUCGGGACCUAAGCCGAGGCAAAAAGCAUAGGCGAUGGACAACAGGUUAAUAUUCCUGUACCGCUUCAAAUCGUUUGAGCAAUGGAGUGACACAGAAGGUAGCUUGAGCACGCGAAUGGAUGUGCGUGUCGAAGGUGGUAGGUUGCAGUAUAGGCAAAUCCGUACUGUAUAAGACCGAGAACUGAUAGAUAGACGAUACUUCGGUAAAGUCAAAUUCAAGUGAGCCAUGCUGUCGAGAAAAGCUUCUAGUGAGAGAUGAGGCGCCCGUACCGAAACCGACACAGGUAGGCGGGGAGAGAAUCCUAAGGUGCGCGGGACAACCCUCGUUAAGGAACUCGGCAAAUUGUAUCCGUAACUUAGGGAUAAGGAUAGCCGGAGGAUGUGAAGGGAUUUACUUCUGGAGCGUCAGCCGGUGGCACAAGAGAGGCCCAAGCGACUGUUUAGCACAAACACAGGUGCCUGCAAAAGAGAAAUCUGACGUAUAGGUGCUGACACCUGCCCGGUGCUGGAAGGUUAAGAGGAGGGCUUAGAGGCAACUCGAAGGCUUGAAUUGAAGCCCCAGUAAACGGCGGCCGUAACUAUAACGGUCCUAAGGUAGCGAAAUUCCUUGUCGGGUAAG
RNAcentral lists this ribosomal RNA (2009 nucleotides) under metagenome. RNAcentral describes it as "bacterial LSU rRNA". It matches the Rfam family "Bacterial large subunit ribosomal RNA", at positions 1 to 1980 of the family's 2925-position model. The record is from RNAcentral.